Molecule: ribosomal RNA, 479 nt
Filed under: uncultured bacterium
Lineage: Bacteria
Description: partial 16S ribosomal RNA
Rfam family: Bacterial small subunit ribosomal RNA
Source: RNAcentral
GAUGAACGCUAGCGGGAGGCCUAACACAUGCAAGCCGAGCGGUAGAGUUUCUUCGGAAUCUUGAGAGCGGCGCACGGGGGCGUAACACUUGUGCAACCUACCUUUAUUUGUGGUAUAGCCUUGCGAAAGGAAGAUUAAUACCCCAUAAUAUAAUGAUUGGCAUCAAUUAUGAUUGAAAACUCCGGUGGAUAGAGAUGGGCACGCGCAAGAUUAGAUAGUUGGUGAGGUAACGGCUCACCAAGUCAAUGAUCUUUAGGGGUCCUGAGGGGGAGAGCCCCCACAGUGGUACUGCGGCCCAGACCACUCUGCUACGGGACGCAGCCGUAAGGAAUAUUGGACAAUGGGUGAGAGCCUGAUCCAGCCAUCCCGCUUGAAGGAUCACGGUCCUAUGGAUUGUAACCUUCUUUUGUACAGGGAUAAACCUACCCUCGUGAGGGUAGCUGACGGUACUGUACGAAUAAGCACCGGCUAACUCCGUG